Molecule: transfer RNA, 73 nt
Filed under: Glycomyces paridis
Lineage: Bacteria; Bacillati; Actinomycetota; Actinomycetes; Glycomycetales; Glycomycetaceae
Rfam family: tRNA
About the family: Transfer RNA (tRNA) molecules are approximately 80 nucleotides in length. Their secondary structure includes four short double-helical elements and three loops (D, anti-codon, and T loops).
Source: Rfam by way of RNAcentral
CCGGGCGUAGUGCAGUGGCCGUCACGCCUCGAUCGCAUCGAGGAGGACGCCGGUUCGAAUCCGGCCGCCCGGG